GUGGGAGGAUUAAAUGUUCCUUCCUUCAGGGCAGUGGUUAGGCUUUCUCUCCACCAAAAUCUAACUUUAGCUGUAAAGAAGCCUGCAGUUAUGAAGGACUUUGUAUCCAGGGAUCUCAAAGAACUUUAUGCAUCAUUUAUUGUGAACCGUGUUUUGCAAAGACUUCAGUUACUUGAGGCUUGAGAGGCGGAUAGGGGAUAAAUGUCUGAGUUAUAUAUAUAUUUAUGCAAGUAAUCGAGUUUGAGGGGAGAGACACAAAACCUCUGGUUUAGCGGUUUCCUCCUGUUUCUGAAGUACCUUCUCGCGGUUAUCUUAGAGAUGUAAGUUCCUUUACUUGUCCAGCACGAAAAGGCCAAAGGGGCUUGUUUUCUCACCCAAAAGACCUUCCUGAGGCAGCUGUUCGAAUACAUGCAGAGCACAGAGCCCUGCUCAGAAAGGAAGAUUCAGAGAACAAAUUGCCGUUUAAAACUAUUGGGACAAACCUGCCUCUUCCAAAGCUUAGAAUGGUCUCUAGCGUACCAGGAUUUGUGAAGGCCUGCAGUUCGUAGAAUGAAAUCUAUGUGGAGAUGAUUUAAAAGAACAGUUUCACUGGUGCCGAUUUCAGUGUCUGCUGUGUUGCAGUAGUGCCUUUGCUGAGUUUGAAACUGGAAACUCCAAGCGGUGAAAAUGUGAAGAUCUGAGUGGUGUGAAAUGAAGUCACUUUCAGAGAGAACAUUUUGCUGAAAUUUAGAGUGAGCUAGAUGUGCCUAAGUCAUACACAGGAAGUAGGAGACCUGGGCGUCAAGGGGACAAACAGCCCCACGGUGAAAAAAGGCAAUUACUGGGAAAAUGAGAGAAGAUUGCAAAGUACACAGAAUCAGCUAUGCACAUUGUGAAAUAUAAGUCACCCCACUAUGUGUUUUGGGGCUGCAGUCACAAAGAUCAAGAUAGAAAAUAAAAAUAUUCACCUCCA
Macaca mulatta (Rhesus monkey) is the source of this 952-nucleotide non-coding RNA. Lineage: Eukaryota; Metazoa; Chordata; Mammalia; Primates; Cercopithecidae. The record is from RefSeq and is a predicted model, not a curated record.